AUUGAACGCUGGCGGCAUGCCUUACACAUGCAAGUCGAACGGCAGCACGGGUGCUUGCACCUGGUGGCGAGUGGCGAACGGGUGAGUAAUACAUCGGAACAUGUCCUGUAGUGGGGGAUAGCCCGGCGAAAGCCGGAUUAAUACCGCAUACGAUCUACGGAUGAAAGCGGGGUACCUUCGGGCCUCGCGCUAUAGGGUUGGCCGAUGGCUGAUUAGCUAGUUGGGGGGGUAAAGGCCUACCAAGGCGACGAUGAGUAGCUGGUCUGAGAGGACGACCAGCCACACUAGGACUGAGACACGGCCCAGACUCCUACGGGAGGCAGCAGUGGGGAAUUUUGGACAAUGGGCGAAAGCCUGAUCCAGCAAUGCCGCGUGUGUGAAGAAGGCCUUCGGGUUGUAAAGCACUUUUGUCCGGAAAGAAAUCCUUGGCCCUAAUACGGUCGGGGGAUGACGGUACCGGAAGAAUAAGCACCGGCUAACUACGUG
This 486-nucleotide ribosomal RNA is filed under the name uncultured bacterium. RNAcentral describes it as "partial 16S ribosomal RNA". It matches the Rfam family "Bacterial small subunit ribosomal RNA", at positions 30 to 507 of the family's 1533-position model. The record is from RNAcentral.